Molecule: long non-coding RNA, 1139 nt
Organism: Hippopotamus amphibius kiboko
Lineage: Eukaryota; Metazoa; Chordata; Mammalia; Artiodactyla; Hippopotamidae
Exons: 4
Source: RefSeq, a predicted model, not a curated record
UUUGCGGCCUGGAAUUAUAAACAGAAGUCCCUAGAACUCCAAUCUGAAGUCUCACCCAUGGAGUGGACACACGGCCUGGGACCCUUCCCAAUUGGGGCUCCAGACUGCUGUCACUCGGAACUUCCCAGCGCUGCUUGAAUCUGGAUGUAGGUGCUUCCCCAAUUCGGUUGGCUAUAUCCUUUCACUGACGGUCGCAGCUCCUCUCAAGUUGGCCCUCUCUAUACGAUUCUGCUGGGUUUAGUCUCCACUAAAAGACAAUGCUUGUGAAGGAAGGGAGAGUUUCACUCUCCCAGAACAUGGUGUUGGUCAUACAGAUGUGGUUUACUUGAAUGAAAACAAGAAUUACUGACAUCCAAACUACAGCUUCUAUGAAUCCAAAGUUGAAGAAAUGGGUUGUGGGUUAAUGAGGUUGGGCGUCCUCACCUAUAUGAAGAGGAUAUCCUCACAGUAAAGGAUAUGACAUUUUCACAUCUGGAGAAUAAGAGGGAGAGAAAAUCAAUUUCCCACUAUCAGCCAUCAAAGAUAUUUUUAUGCAAUAUAUUGAUUUAUUUCUGUAUUAUUAACUUUUAAGGUAAAAUUUACAUACAAUUAAAUGUACCAAUUUUGAUAUACAAUUUGGUAAGUUUUAUCAAAUGUACCUACCCAUGAAAUCAACACUCCAACCAAGUUAUAAAACAUCCUCCAAGAAUGUUCUCUAGUGAUCCUUUCCGGUCAGUGGCCACCUCAUUCCCACUGAUAAACUAGUGUUCUAUCACCACAGAUUAGUUUUUCAUAUUCUUGAAAGUAUUAUAAAUAGAAUCAUACAUAAUGUACUCUUUUCUGCCUGGCUUCCUUCAUUCAAUAGAAUAUUUUUGAGAUCCAUCUAGAUUGAUGUGUAUAUCACUAACUCAUUCUUUAUUCCAUGAUUCCCAGGUGAUUCUAAUCUGUAUUUCUAGUUCUAUAAAGUGAAAUGCAUAGAUGCCAAGUACACACACAGGUCAAUGUUUUUUGACAAAUGUAUAUUCCCAUAUAACUGUCACCCAAAUCAAAGACACAGAACAUUUCCAUCACUGCCAAAAAUUCCCUUGUGUUUCUUUCCAGGCAUCCCCACCGCUUUUCACAGGAAAACACUGUUUUAAUUUUUACCACUAUAGACACAU